This 368-nucleotide ribosomal RNA is filed under the name uncultured Streptococcus sp. RNAcentral describes it as "bacterial SSU rRNA". It matches the Rfam family "Bacterial small subunit ribosomal RNA", at positions 1014 to 1382 of the family's 1533-position model. Lineage: Bacteria; Bacillati; Bacillota; Bacilli; Lactobacillales; Streptococcaceae. The record is from RNAcentral.
GUUACUUCGGUACAUCGGUGACAGGUGGUGCAUGGUUGUCGUCAGCUCGUGUCGUGAGAUGUUGGGUUAAGUCCCGCAACGAGCGCAACCCCUAUUGUUAGUUUGCCAUCAUUCAGUUGGGCACUCUAGCGAGACUGCCGGUAAUAAACCGGAGGAAGGUGGGGAUGACGUCAAAUCAUCAUGCCCCUUAUGACCUGGGCUACACACGUGCUACAAUGGUUGGUACAACGAGUUGCGAGUCGGUGACGGCGAGCUAAUCUCUUAAAGCCAAUCUCAGUUCGGAUUGUAGGCUGCAACUCGCCUACAUGAAGUCGGAAUCGCUAGUAAUCGCGGAUCAGCACGCCGCGGUGAAUACGUUCCCGGGCCUU